This 299-nucleotide ribosomal RNA is filed under the name Peripatopsis stelliporata. Its description in RNAcentral is "partial 12S ribosomal RNA". The record is from RNAcentral. Lineage: Eukaryota; Metazoa; Onychophora; Udeonychophora; Euonychophora; Peripatopsidae.
GAAACUUAAUAAUUUGACGGCAUUUUAAACCAUAAAGGAGUUUGUAAUUUAAUCGUCAAUUCACGUUAAAUCUUACUUAAUAUAGUUUGUAUACCUCCGUCAAAGAUUUUAUUUUAAAUAGAAAAAAAAUUCAAAAUCCAAAAAGAAAUAAUUCAGGUCAAGGUGCAACUUUUUAAGAUAUUAUGAACUUCAAUCUAAAAUAAAGAUAUAGACUUAGUAUGAAAAAAAAAGAAAAGUGAAUUUAUAAGUAAAAUAAAAUUAGAAUGUUUAUUUGAAAUAAUUAAAAUGUGUACACAUCG